Molecule: ribosomal RNA, 95 nt
Filed under: uncultured bacterium
Lineage: Bacteria
Description: partial 16S ribosomal RNA
Rfam family: Bacterial small subunit ribosomal RNA
Source: RNAcentral
CACCGCCCGUCACACCAUGGAAGUCUGCUGCACCAGAAGUAGGUAGUCUAACCGCAAGGAGGGCGCCUACCACGGUGUGGCCGAUGACUGGGGUG